RNAcentral lists this long non-coding RNA (1354 nucleotides) under Ananas comosus (pineapple). RNAcentral's name for it is "long non-coding RNA (ACOM_LNC024148)". The record is from RNAcentral. Lineage: Eukaryota; Viridiplantae; Streptophyta; Magnoliopsida; Poales; Bromeliaceae.
ACCUAUGUUCAUUGACAUUAGGUUUAUUUCAUGUCCAACCUAUGUUUAAUAACAUUAGGUUCAAGCCACUUGAUCUAUAUCCAACCUAUGUUUCAUACACUAGGUUUAUAUCACUCGAUCUAUGUAUCAUCCUAGUUGUUCGUAUCUAGGAUUAAAGUUUACCUAUUUCAUAUUUAACUUACAUGCCCUUGGCAUUUACAAGUUCAACAUUCAUAUCUUAUAUGUUGGUUCAUAUGCGUUUAGCAUGACUAUGCCUUUAGUUCUCGCGUUCAUAUAUCGACAAUUGUACAUAAUCUACAAAUAGUCAUAUGCCUCUAGCAUGUUCAUCAUUUGAUUACCAUUCUACAUUAUCUAGCAUUAACCAUAAUGCAUUCAUAUGUCAUUUAGCAUGAUUCUCAAUAUAUUCAGAUGCAUGUUCUAUUAGCAUGACUAUGCAUUUAGCUUUCACGUUCAUAUAUCGACAAUUAUACGUAUUUAGCACGAUCUACAAUGUAUUUAUAUGCACCUUCAUAUAUCUUUAUUCUUAUGUCUCUAGCAUUCACUUUCAUAUACAUGUAGCAUUCAUAUUUAUAUGAUAACUACCAUAAAUCAUCUCACAUUAUCAUUAUAUGUCAACAAUCAUAUAUGCAGAUUCAUUCAUAAGCAUCUAGCAUUUAUGUCAUAUAUCGACAAUCAUAUUCAUAUAUGCAUCAAUGAAACCAUACUUUACUUUGACAUGUAAGUGACCUAAUCACUUCGGUAAAGCACAACCCACCUUUAUUUGAUACCGGAAUGAGAGAAAUCCGCUUCUCGCACUUUUCCAAGAAUCGCGACCCGCGCUCCCGACAAUUGUUGCCGAAAAUAUCUUUUUUGGCGAUAUCUUCACGUAGGCUUGACGGAUUGCCGAACCGACUUCGCAAACGCGUUUGUUUUACCCUCAAUUAGGUUUGUACGUGGUCAAUUUCACGUUAGGACUUCAAUCCUGCAAAAGUGCAUUAUCGAGGUCAGUUUCUAUAGAAACCUGUUUCUAUGAAAUUUCAUAAUUAUAUAGGGUAUUUACUAACCCAAAGAACCUGAAACAAUUAGGUUAGAGGACUUACAUCAAUCCCUAAUAAAGGAUUAUUUCAAUUCCUCCUUUUCUUUCAUUUCCUUCUUUCUUGCUUCCUUUCUUUCUUUUCUUUCUUUUCUUUCUUUCUUUUCUUUCUUUCUUUUCUUGCUUUCUUUCUUUCUUUUCUUUCUUUCUUUCCUUGCUUUCUUUCUUUCUUUUCCUUCUUUCUUUCUUUUCCCUGCAGCAGCAGCUUCUACUGCUGAAGUUGACUGCUGCUCCUGCUGACAGCAGCUGCUGCUGACUGCUGCUGCUCCUGCUGAGCUGCUG